CCUGUCUCUGUCUGAGCAUGAUCACAACAAAAGUAGCUGUGCAGCACGUUUUUUAAUGAAGAGGAGGAUGGUUGUAGACGUUCACAUUCCUGCAAGAAGGCACUGCAGAGGCUAAGAAGACGCAUGGAAACUCUAAAAGAAACAUAAUUCAACUUGUAGGCCAGAUUUGAAAAGGAAAUAAUAAAUCCCGAAGCUCAGAUGUCAGACACCGAGGCUGCCAGUACCUCUGGGUCGAUAGUCCAUGUGUUGGAUGAUGCACUGCCGUUGAUCAGAACAGACAGCGUAUACGUAAGUUAGUGUCAUUCAACACCAGCACAUACUGUAAGUUCUUGUGAAUCAGCUUUGUAAAUCAAAGACAGGCAAGUCUGCACUUUCAUCCCAUAUUCAUUGUAUUAUUAGAAAAUGUAAAGUAGAGGAGCACAGAGCCAUAACUAAUCAAAAUGUACCAGUGUCCAAAUACUUUGAUAUCUAUCUAGUUAUCCAAGAUACUUUUUUUCUGCAAUACAGUUGACCAAAGCUAUGCUUGGAUACAAGACUGAUGACUCAAUAACCAGUAUUGACAACAGUGAAGAUGGUUGUGUCCCAGGGCCAUCAGAGGAAGGCAAUUUCUAUGAAGAAAAUCUGACCUGUAUGCCUAUACCUUACAUACACAUGGACCUAUUCUUAAUUACAAUGUCCUUUUUGACAUGUUUUCCAGGAGAGAUGUCAGCGAUUCGGGCUAAACAGCCAAUGACCAAGGGAAAGCUGGGACAAAUGAGAGGCUCACACGGUGUAACGAUCGUCAAAAGGAGUAGACCAAGGUGCAGCGUGGCUAUAACGAGCAGUACAAAAAUAAGAUCCCACAACUACAGGUGGGGAAAGGCUGCCUAAGUAUGGCUCCCAAUCAGAGACAACGAUAGACAGCUGCCUCUGAUUAGGAACCAUACUCUGCUCAACACAAAGAAAUAGACACCAUAGAAUGCCCACCCCACACCUUGACCUAACCACAUAGAGAAUCAAACCGUCUCUCUCAGGUCAGGGUGUGACAAAA
RNAcentral lists this long non-coding RNA (1030 nucleotides) under Salmo salar (Atlantic salmon). RNAcentral describes it as "lncRNA (ENSSSAG00000095340.1)". Lineage: Eukaryota; Metazoa; Chordata; Actinopteri; Salmoniformes; Salmonidae. The record is from RNAcentral.